Long non-coding RNA from Oncorhynchus keta (chum salmon), 353 nucleotides. RefSeq lists it as uncharacterized. The record is from RefSeq and is a predicted model, not a curated record. The transcript has 4 exons. NCBI's taxonomy places the organism in Eukaryota, Metazoa, Chordata, Actinopteri, Salmoniformes, Salmonidae.
AAACAGUAUGCUGAAAAAUAGUAUGAUGAUAAGCCUUUGGGUUAAAUUUGCUUCAUUGUUGUAGCAAUUUGACAGAAUCAUUUACAAUAAGGAUGCAAGGGCAGACAUAUCUAUCUGGGCACACGGAUCAACAGUUCAUAAUUGGCCAGGGGGCUAAGCUGGAGACGAUGACUGGAGAGAAGUACAAAGGCUAAAGUGAACCUGGUUGGGAACAUGCUAAACGCCUCACUGAAGGGCAUUGAGUCAGUCAUGGAACAUCAUCGUUACCAUGACGCUUCGCCCCAUCGUCUGCAAGAGGAUAAGUAAGCGCAUGUAGUGAUCUCUCAACCCUUUUUGAAUAAAUUAAGAAAAUG